AAACAAGUAAGUUAAGCGCAUCUGGUGAAUGCCUUGGCGAUCAGAGGCGAUGAAGGACGUGGUACGCUGCGAAAAGCUACGGUCAGGCGCGAACAGCCGUUGACCCGUAGAUCUCCGAAUGGGGAAACCCACCUUAUCACUUGUUUUCAGUGUUCAGUUGUAUUACUGACACUGAAUAAUGAUAACAGGUGAUGUAUAGGUAUUAUUAUCUGAAUACAUAGGAUAAUAAAGCAAACGCGGGGAAUUGAAACAUCUUAGUACCCGUAGGAAAGGAAAUCAACCGAGACUCCGAAAGUAGUGGCGAGCGAAAUCGGACCAGCCCAAUGGUGUCUGUGUAAUAAUUAGAAUCUUCUGGAAAGUAGAGCCAAAGUAGGUGAUAGCCCUGUAUAAGUAAAAAGCAUAGACAUCUUCGAGUAGAGCGGGACACGAGUAAUCCUGUUUGAAUAUGGGGGGCCCAUCCUCCAAGGCUAAGUACUCCUGAUCGACCGAUAGUGAACUAGUACCGUGAGGGAAAGGUGAAAAGAACCCCGAUAAGGGGAGUGAAACAGACCUGAAACCGGAUGCGUACAAGCAGUAGGAGCACCUUUAUGGUGUGACUGCGUACCUUUUGUAUAAUGGGUCAGCGAGUUAGUCUAUCAUGCAAGCUUAAGCCGAUAGGUGUAGGCGCAGCGAAAGCGAGUCUGAAUAGGGCGUAUAGUAUGAUGGAUUAGACCCGAAACCCGGUGAUCUAGGCAUGGCCAGGUUGAAGGUUGGGUAACACCAACUGAAGGACCGAACCCAUAUCUGUUGAAAAAGAUUGGGAUGAGCUGUGCCUAGGGGUGAAAGGCCAAUCAAACCGGGUUAUAGCUGGUUCUCCGCGAAAUCUAUUUAGGUAGAGCGUCAUGCGAAUACCUUGGGGGGUAGAGCACUGGAUGGACUAGGGGGGCGCGAGCCUUACCAAAUCUAACCAAACUCCGAAUACCCAAGAGUACUACAUGGCAGACACACGGCGGGUGAUAACGUCCGUCGUGGAGAGGGAAACAACCCAGACCUACAGCUAAGGUCCCAAAAUCAUAGUUAAGUGUAAAAGGAAGUAAGAGGUCCAAGACAAUCAGGAGGUUGGCUUAGAAGCAGCCAUCCUUUAAAGAAAGCGUAAUAGCUCACUGAUCUAAAUAAGACCUCUCGCGCCGAAGAUGUAACGGGGCUAAAACUAUGUACCGAAGCUUAGGAUGUGCAUUUAUGCACGUGGUAGCGGAGCAUUCUGUAAGCCUGCGAAGGGUAUCCGUGAGGAUGCCUGGAGGUAUCAGAAGAGAGAAUGCUGACAUGAGUAGCGAUAAGAAGUGUGAGAGACACUUCCGCCGAUAGCCCAAGGGUUCCUGUUCAAUGCUAAUCAGAGCAGGGUGAGCCGGCUCCUAAGGCGAGGCCGAAAGGCGUAGUCGAUGGGAAUCACGUUAAUAUUCGUGAGCCUGGCGGUGUGUGACGAAGGCUGGACGUAGUUUCUUCUUAACGGAUUGAAGAAGCUGCCAAGGACUUCCAGGAAAUAGCCCCGCCAUAUAGACCGUACCCCAAACCGACACAGGUGGGCAGGUAGAGUAUACCAAGGCGUUUGAGAGAACUAUGUUGAAGGAACUCGGCAAAUUACAUGCGUAACUUCGGGAUAAGCAUGCCCCAUUGAAAGGCAACUUUUGGUGGGGGACACAAACUAGGGGGUGGCGACUGUUUAUCAAAAACACAGGGCUCUGCGAAUACGGUUAAGUAGACGUAUAGGGUCUGACGCCUGCCCGGUGCUGGAAGGUUAAGUGGAGAUGUGCAAGCAUUGAAAUGAAGCCCCAGUAAACGGCGGCCGUAACUAUAACGGUCCUAAGGUAGCGAAAUUCCUUGUCGGGUAAGUUCCGACCUGCAUGAAUGGCGUAACGAUUUC
This 1900-nucleotide ribosomal RNA is filed under the name Micavibrio sp. RNAcentral's name for it is "bacterial LSU rRNA". It matches the Rfam family "Bacterial large subunit ribosomal RNA", at positions 1 to 2011 of the family's 2925-position model. Lineage: Bacteria; Pseudomonadati; Bdellovibrionota; Bdellovibrionia; Bdellovibrionales; Pseudobdellovibrionaceae. The record is from RNAcentral.